This 500-nucleotide ribosomal RNA is filed under the name uncultured bacterium. RNAcentral's name for it is "partial 16S ribosomal RNA". It matches the Rfam family "Bacterial small subunit ribosomal RNA", at positions 30 to 523 of the family's 1533-position model. The record is from RNAcentral.
AUUGAACGCUGGCGGCAUGCUUUACACAUGCAAGUUGAACGGUAACAGGGUGCUUGCACCGCUGACGAGUGGCGAACGGGUGAGUAAUGCGUCGGAACGUGCCGAGUAGUGGGGGAUAACGCAGCGAAAGUUGUGCUAAUACCGCAUACGUACUGAGGUAGAAAGUGGGGGACGUUCGGGCCUCACGCUAUUGGAGCGGCUGACGUCUGAUUAGGCAGUGGGUGAGGUAAAGGCUCACCUAGGCGACGAUCAGCAGCGGGGCUGAGAGGUUGGUCCGCCACACUGGGACUGGGACACGGCCCAGACUCCUACGGGAGGCAGCAGUGGGGAAUUUUGGACAAUGGGCGGAAGCCUGAUCCAGCCAUGCCGCGUGUCUGAAGAAGGCCUUCGGGUUGUAAAGGACUUUUGUCAGGGAGGAAAUCCCUAGUGCUAAUAACACUGGGGGAUGACAGUACCUGAAGAAUAAGCACCGGCUAACUACGUGCCAGCCGCCGCGGUAA